AUACGAGGGUUGCAAGCGUUAAUCGGAAUUACUGGGCGUAAAGCGUUCGUAGGCGGUUUGUUAAGCAAGAUGUGAAAGCCCUGGGCUCAACCUGGGAACUGCAUUUUGAACUGGCAAGCUAGAAUACUGUAGAGGGUGGUGGAAUUUCCAGUGUAGCGGUGAAAUGCGUAGAGAUUGGAAGGAACAUCAGUGGCGAAGGCGGCCACCUGGACAGAUAUUGACGCUGAGGAACGAAAGCGUGGGGAGCGAACAGGAUUAGAAACCCUUGUAGUCC
RNAcentral lists this ribosomal RNA (274 nucleotides) under uncultured bacterium. Its description in RNAcentral is "partial 16S ribosomal RNA". It matches the Rfam family "Bacterial small subunit ribosomal RNA", at positions 523 to 796 of the family's 1533-position model. The record is from RNAcentral.